Vigna radiata var. radiata (mung bean) is the source of this 1533-nucleotide RNA transcript. It is a transcript of the gene named probable protein phosphatase 2C 59, with no coding region annotated. Lineage: Eukaryota; Viridiplantae; Streptophyta; Magnoliopsida; Fabales; Fabaceae. The transcript is spliced from 6 exons. The record is from RefSeq and is a predicted model, not a curated record.
AACAACUGCAUUAUGUCUUUAAGCAUUUAUUUAUCAAAACGUUUUGAAAACAUUAUUCAAACUCCCCUUCCCCCUUUUGUAGUGUUUUCCUGCACUUCAUGUCAAGUUUUAUGAAGUUUUACAUUUGCUCCAAGUGCAUGUUGCAUUGCAUUAUUGCAAAGGAUUUGCGUUCUCCCCUCCUCCACCACUACGAAUGUCCUUUCUCCUUCAUCCCUUCUUCUUUCUUCUUCUUUUUUCCACUAACUCACUGGAAGCCAUAGUUGAACACCCCUCGUUUGUUAGGAAUCCAAGUGUGAGUAUAUGAAAGACCCAUUAACCCAUUGCCUUAAGUUUUUGGAUAGAUAACAGUGGCAGUCCCUUAUGUGGUUGGGCUGAGGUGGUUGGGGUCAGAUGGCAUUAGUGUUUGUGUCUCCUCGGUGAAUCCCCUCCUGGAUAGACCCAACAUCAUUGUUCGCCGUUGCCAAUUUUCCUGAGUUCUUGAACAGUUCCACUCUCCGUUGUUGUCCCUUAACAUGGAACACUCAUGAAUGGAUCUCGUUUUCCAGCGUCUUAGCAGCGGUAGAGACUUGGAUGGAAUUCAUGAUUGAUUUAGGGUUUGAAUUCGGGUUCUGUUUUUAGGGAUUUGAAUGGGUCCAAUGUCUCACGAUUUUGGGUUUGGCCAUAGAGAAGAAGAAAUUCCAGGUAUGGAGAGCUAUUUUAGUGUGAUUGAUUGCUUGUAUGUGGUAUGAUUUGGGAUUUAGAUGUCAGUUAUUGGUGAAACCAACGAUGCAGAAAAGAAUGUGUUCGAUUUGGGAGCAUUUGUCGGUGACCUAGCUUUGGAAGAGGAUCCGAGCAGCGAUGAUAUAUCGUUGGAAGGACUAGAGCAUCGAUGAAAAUUUUAAUUGCUACUCCAAUUUAUAUUCCUUGUGGUUAGUGUCACAGAUGGAAACUCUUCUAAGUGGAUUUCAGUGGAUAUAUCUGUUGGCAACUUCAUUUAAUACCAAUUGGUUUUAAUAUGGAAUCUAACGAAGAGUAUAUGUGUCACAGGUGUCUGUAUUUGUACAUAGAAAUUUCUUGUGCUUCUGUUGGAUUGUUUUUUUCAACCUUCUGAAUUGAAUGCUGACUCAUAUUUUGCUUUCCUUUUCAUCUAGCCAUUGUUGUUUCCCAAGAUCACAAGCCGGACCAAACUGAUGAGAGGCGAAGGAUUGAAGAUGCAGGUGGCUUUGUUAUGUGGGCUGGAACUUGGAGAGUUGGUGGUGUUCUUGCUGUUUCUAGUGCAUUUGGCGAUAGACUCCUGAAGCGGUAUGUUGUUGCUGAUCCAGAAAUACAGGUGAGUUUACAAUAUAUCUCAUAUUGUUAGAUCCAUAAAUAUAUGUGUAUAGAGUGCAUGAUUUACUAUAUAAAACAUCCAUUCAGUAAAUUAGAGACCAAACUCUGCUUCAUAUGAGAAGAUGAAAGUAAAAUAAAGCAUAAAACAUGUUUAAAAUAUAAAGACAGUUCAGAAAGAAUUUGCAUGAUGUAUAUGACAAUGCAUGCGGUUUAGUUAUGUAAGAU